CCCUUAGAUGUUCUGGGCUGCACGCGCGCUACACUGAAGCUAUCAACACGUUUUCCCUCCCUGAGAAGGGCGGGUAACCUUUUGAAUCAGCUUCGUGGUAGGGAUCGGGGCUUGCAAUUGUUCCCCGUGAACCAGGAAUUCCUCGUAGACGCGAGUCAUAAGCUCGCAUCGAUUAAGUCCCUGCCCUUUGUACACACCGCCCGUCGCUACUACCGAUUGAACGUUUUAGUGAGGCAUUUGGACCGACGCAUCUCAGUUUAACCGCUGGUUUGUGUUGGAAAGACUUCCAAACUUGAGCGUUUAGAGGAAGUAAAAGUCGUAACA
RNAcentral lists this ribosomal RNA (324 nucleotides) under uncultured eukaryote. RNAcentral describes it as "partial 18S ribosomal RNA". It matches the Rfam family "Eukaryotic small subunit ribosomal RNA", at positions 1470 to 1796 of the family's 1831-position model. The record is from RNAcentral.